GACGGAGGAGGCAAGCGUUAUCCGGAAUGAUUGGGCGUAAAGGGUUCGUAGGCGGCUGUUCAAGUCUGGUGUCAAAGACCGGAGCUUAACCCUAGAAAGGCAGUGGAAACUGAACGGCUGGAGUGCAGUAGGGGUUGAGGGAAUUCCCAGUGUAGCGGUGAAAUGCGUAGAGAUUGGGAAGAACACCGGUGGCGAAAGCGCUCUGCUGGACUGCAACUGACACUGAGGGACGAAAGCUAGGGGAGCGAAAGGG
Molecule: ribosomal RNA, 253 nt
Filed under: uncultured bacterium
Lineage: Bacteria
Description: partial 16S ribosomal RNA
Rfam family: Bacterial small subunit ribosomal RNA
Source: RNAcentral